Long non-coding RNA from Humulus lupulus (European hop), 471 nucleotides. RefSeq lists it as uncharacterized. Lineage: Eukaryota; Viridiplantae; Streptophyta; Magnoliopsida; Rosales; Cannabaceae. The transcript has 2 exons. The record is from RefSeq and is a predicted model, not a curated record.
UUAAUAAAGUAAAAGGCAAUUUGAUAAUAAAUGAAUGAGAAUCUGCUUUGAUUAAUUUCAUUCAUCAAAUUGUGUCCUCUUACUUUCCUAGUAAGAUGUAAUUAAGAUUUUGUCUGGAAUGAUAUUUAAGUUGAACCCAAAAAUUAUUUUGUUGAGUUUUGUUUACCAAGUGCAAGGGAAGAAUAAGAGAGCAACAGUAGGUCCUCUGCCUGGUGUUACUCAAGAUAUCGCUGGUUUCAAGGUCUAUAUUGAGAUGCAUUUCUUUAGCGCAAUACUAGACAACAAUGAUAGUUGAAGCUUUUAGAAUCAAAAUUAUAUUUCACUAACUUUGUAUACAUUUCUUGUUUAAUAUUUGGUGAUGAUAGAAUUUGACUAUAGUAUAAACUAUCAUGUAAUAUGAUUUUGUAAGUCGAGUAGACUAAAUACUGGAAUGAUAUUUUUGAGUAAUUAAUAAAAAAUUAUUUUGUUGUA